GGUGGAGAGACACGAGGAGGGUGAGACAGGUGGAGAGACAUGUGGAGGAUGAGACAGGUGGAGAGACACGUGGAGGGUGAGACACGUUGAGGAGAGAGACAAUGGAGGGAAGAAGACAGUUGGAGAGGAGAGACAGGUGGAGAUACAGUUGGAGAGGAGAGACAGGUGGAGAGACAGUUGGAGAGGAGAGACAGGUGGAGGGGAGAGACAGGUGGAGAGACAGGUGGAGAGACGGGUGGAGGGGAGAGACAGGUGGAGAGACAGGUGGAGGGGAGAGACAGGUGGAGACACGUGGGGGGGAGACAGGUGGAGGAUGAGACAGGUGGAGGGAGGGGGAGAGACAGGUGGAGAGUGAGACAGGUGGAGAGUGAGACAGGUGGAGCAGCAGCUCAGCACCCUGGUUCAGUACCCCCCAGUGGCUGCUGUACCCCCGUCCCCUGAGGUGACCCCCUCCCGAGAUACUGC
This is a long non-coding RNA of Gadus macrocephalus (Pacific cod), 465 nucleotides long. RefSeq lists it as uncharacterized. Lineage: Eukaryota; Metazoa; Chordata; Actinopteri; Gadiformes; Gadidae. The transcript is spliced from 4 exons. The record is from RefSeq and is a predicted model, not a curated record.